This is a small nuclear RNA of Prolemur simus (greater bamboo lemur), 171 nucleotides long. Its record names the gene U1. It matches the Rfam family "U1 spliceosomal RNA". From Rfam's summary of the family: U1 is a small nuclear RNA (snRNA) component of the spliceosome (involved in pre-mRNA splicing). Its 5' end forms complementary base pairs with the 5' splice junction, thus defining the 5' donor site of an intron. The record is from Ensembl. NCBI's taxonomy places the organism in Eukaryota, Metazoa, Chordata, Mammalia, Primates, Lemuridae.
AUAUUUUGCUGGCAGGGGAGAUACUGUGAUCAUGAAGGUGGUUUUCCCAGGGCAAGGCUUAUCUGUUGCAUUCCAGAUGUGCUGACUGACCCCUGUGAUUCCCCAAAUGCGGGGGAGAAACUUGACUGCAUAAUUUGCGAUAGUGGAGGACUGUGUUCUUGCUCUCCCCUG